RNAcentral lists this ribosomal RNA (390 nucleotides) under Triticum aestivum (bread wheat). RNAcentral describes it as "partial small subunit ribosomal RNA". The record is from RNAcentral. Lineage: Eukaryota; Viridiplantae; Streptophyta; Magnoliopsida; Poales; Poaceae.
AUGACCCGGCGGCCGCUCAAUCCAGAUGAUGAAGAGGGGCUCGAUGGCGACCGGGUCGUUGUCAAAGAGGCGAGGCGGAACUAUCCCCGCAUCUUCCAGAUCAGACAAGGCUCGCAGGCGGAGGCAAGACCAGCUUUGAGGCGGACGACUGCCACCAGCGGCGGUGAAGCGGCGAAGUAUAAAGGCGGCUCAGUCAAGCGGAGCAGCAACGGUAGAUCAAUGCUUGCCUCGGGACUUGAUUCCCUUGCGGAUGCUGCGUACGGAGUAGCAGUUGCAAGGCGUCGGAAGAGCAAGGAUAGCUGCAGCCCUUCGGGAUUCUCCACCAGUCGGGCCGUAAGUAAGAACAUGGCAGAUGAAUCGCCUCCUGCAGAAAACCUCAACCCGGAAUAA